AUGGGUGAUGAAGGUGGUCUUCUCCUGAUCCUUCUCUUCCAUAAGGAUCUGAUUGUAGCCUAAGUAGGCGUCUAAGAAGCUUAACAAUUCAUGCCCGGCCGUUACGUCAAUGAGCUGGUCGAUAUGGGGUAACGGGAAUGAGUCUUUGGGGCAUGCUUUAUUCAAAUCUGUAAAGUCUACGCAUAUUCGCCACUUCCCAUUUUUCUUUUUCACCAUGACCACAUUGGCGACCCAUUGGGGGUAUUUUGACUCCCUGAUGGAGCCAUUUCCCAGUAAUUUUUCGACCUCUUCGCGGACUGCAUCAUUUAUUGUGGAAUUGAACUUUCGCCUAACCUACCUCACUGGGGUUGGAAUGGGUCGACGUUUAACUUGUGUGUGGCAAUCUCCUUCGGGAUACCUGGCAUAUCUGCGUGGGAGAAAGCAAACAAGUCUGCGUUAGUAGUUAAGAAGUGACGGAAUUUACCUGGUUCUUGAAGCUUGCAUUGUUGUGGUCAUUAUCUGCGUGGGAAAAAGCAAACAAGUCUGUAUUGUUGUGGUCGUUAUCAUCAAGUUGAACGGGGUCGAGGUAUUCUAUGGUUGAUCCCGCGGCCUCUACUGUUUCGGGAUCUCUGAUGACGUCCUCUCUUUCGUCACAGCUCCACCUCGACCCUGUUAAUUGCUAUGCCUAUUUUAUUUUUCCCUUCAUUUUUUGGGUGGUCGUACAAUCCAGGGUGAUGCGGUAGCAUUCUCUAGAUAUGCGUUGUUCUCCUUGUAUGUUGAAUAUUUCCCAUGGGGUUGGAAAUUUGAUAACUUGGUACAAGCUGGAGGGGAUGGCCCUCAUGGCGUGUAUCCAAGGUCGGCCUAUUAUGGCGUCGUACACCGUAUCCUGGUCCAUGAUGUGGAAUGUGGUUUUCAGAGUGACGCCGCCGGCCAGGACGGGGAGUGUGAUUUCUCCAGAAGUUCAUUCAACUGCAUUGUUAAAACCUAUUAGCGUGAUGCAACGCGACACUAUCUUAUCCUCGAGUUUCAUUUGUGCAAGUACUCGAGGGUGGAUAAUGUACGCGCCGCUCCUAUCGUCCACCAUAAUGCAUCUUACAUCUGUAUCUAAUAUUCGUAAAGUGAUAACGAGGGCGUCAUAGUGAGGGAAAACCAAACCGUGGGUAUCUGACUUAUCGAAGAUGAUACUUUCUUCGAGUUCGUCAUACCGUUCGUGAGUGAUCGACCGAUUGAGCUUAUGGGUUGUGGUGAAAUUUACGCUAUUGAUCGAAGCAUCGUCGCCGCCUCUGAUGAUCAUUUGAAUGGUGCGAGUCGGUGAGGGUGCUUUCGGUGGUCCCUGGUGCUGUUCACGUCCUCGGGCAAAUUUGGUCCUUCCUCGGUCGCUUAGUAAUUCUUUGAGGUAUCCUUGGUAAUACAUGUUUACGACCUCCUACCUUAGGGCGAUGCAAUCCUCAGUUUUGUAACCUCGCUCUUGGUGGAACUCGCAGAAGGCAUUUGACUUUCUGGUGCUUAGGUCUGACCUCAUCUUUUGUGGCCACUUUACUUUUGGUCCGAGCUUCUCCGAUGCGUAGACUAUUUCUGAGGGUGACACCCAAAAAUUAUGAGCGGAUAAUUAAAUGGGGCAUACCUAUCUCGUUCCGGUGAGUCCCUGUCCUUGGUCUAGAUGGGCCCUCUUCGUGGCAGGAGGGGGCAUGAUGGCGCUUCUGAUAUAUGGAUGAUGCCUUUCUCGGUUGAGUUGUGGAGCUGCAAAGUCCCUCUUGGCAUCAUUUUUUCGAUCCUUCCUAGAUUUGGCCUGCACCUAGGUCAACUGAUGAGUUGGCCCAUUCAGGUCAUUUUCGUCUGCACGGACCUCGGCACAGUAGGCGUUGUGUAUUUCAUCCCAAGUUGUUGGAGGAUAUUUUAUAAGCCGACUUAAUAAUUUUCUGGUUGCUCUUGAGCCAAUCCUGUUCAGCCUGUUUUGGAAAGCUGCUACAGCCAUUCCUUCCGAUACAUUCGAUAAGGUCAUCCUUAGUCGGUUGAAUCGAGUGAGGAAGUCCCUCAAUCCCUCUCCGGGCGAUUGUUUGAAGGCAAAUAUAUUAUUUACUCUUGCCUCCGCCUUUUUGGCCCCAGCAUGGAUCGUUACGAACUUGUCGGCCAUCUCUUCGAACAUUUCAAUGGAACACGCGGGCAGUUGUGAAUACCAAGUUAAUGCUCUUCUAGUGAGGGUCUCGCCGAGCUUUUUCAACAAGAUGGAGGAUACUUGUUCUUUGGCGAGAUCAUUGCCUUUUACCGCAGUGACAUAGUGAGUCGCAUGAUCUUCGGGGUCGAUCGCACCAUCAUAUAUUUUCAGAUAAGGCGGCAUCUUGAAGGUCUUGGGUAUGGCAUGCGGGGUGGCUUUAUCACUAUAGGGUUGCUCAACGAACCGACCAUCAUCUUUUUUUGGCAAGAGUUUUGGGGCACCCGGUAUUUUGUCGACUCUUUCUUGGUGCUCUCUCAUUUGGCCCCGAAGCAUUUUAUUCUCAUUUUCCAUUUCUUCCAUCUUCCUUAGAAUGGCUGUGAGGGUGUCGUCACAUGCAUUAUUAACAUUGUGAGUGAUACCUGUUACUAGAGGGAGAGGGCCGUGCUGCUCGGCCAUUGUCGGUGCAAUGCUAGUCCUUGUGUUUUCUCUAGUUGCCUCCUGGGCGGGCUUGUCGAGGAUGCUGGUUAGCGUGUUUGUUAGCCAAGCCUCGAGUAAUUUUUUCAUUACUGGUGGUGCCUCUUCCGUCGUGGAUGUGGAAGCUCCUUUACCGCGGGAUGUUGUGAUAUUGUCGUGAGGGAGGGGCGACCCAACUCGCCUGGGGGAGGCGUUGGGCGUUAUAUCCUUGCCUUCUGUUUUAGAAAUCUCAUUGAUGGUGUUCAAGAGGUUGGUGGUGAGAUCGGCCACUGCCUUCAUCCAUUCUUCUCCAUUACCUGCCUUGUCAGAUCCGUGUGUACAAGGAAAAAUGAGUUUUGCUCUUCCUUUUUUUUUUUUUGUAAACUGUGCUAGUUAUAGAUCUAGGAGAAACUAAAAAUUUAACUAGGAAAUCCCCACAGACGACGCCAAAUUGUUUGACCAAAAUGUGUAAAUCUUCGAUUAAACUAAUUAGUUUUAUGUAAUGAGGGAUUAAGCCUAGUUGAUAAUAAUAUCCCUCAAUUUAUAACUAGCUAACACAAAUAACGCAAGAUAUCGUUGGUGAUGGAUUAAAUGCAGUGUGCAUUUGAUGUUUCAAGGGGAGUAAUGAUGAAGAAUAUCAAGUAAUAAAUAACAAUAAAUGACAUUAACGUAAAUAAGGAGAAUGAUUCACCCAAUAUUGAAUGAGGUGGAUGGUUCUUCUCUCUGAUAGUGAUGAGUGAUAGACAAAUCCUAGAAUAUUGGAACUAUUCUCAGAUUUGAUGGAAAUGAGUGGAAUAAUGGAUGUUAGAAUUUUCUUAGAAAGGUAGUGUUUGUAUCUUUUCUAGAGAGAGUCUUCCUCUCAAAAAGUGCUCUUAUCCGAAAGAAAUAUUACAUGCCCUUUCCCCUGAUCUCUUUUUCUAUUUAUAUGGGACAUAUCCCCAGUCAACCCUAAAAGUACCAGUACAUAGAAUAUUCAGUGGAAUAUUUCUUUAAAUAUUCUAUUACAAAAACUAGUCGUUAGUACCGUCCUUAAUACUUGACCUUGGUCGUUAUUGACCGCCCGGCUACGAGCCCUACUGUCCACUAGUCGACUUUGGCCAUAUCACUUUUCAUAAUACCACUCCAUGCUAAAUCCCACUAAGACAGAUUUUGACCUAUACACUAUUUACCUAAAAUAGAAAAAUAUUCCUACCCUUCCAAACCAUUUCUUCUUCUCCUUCUUCUCCAUUUUCUUUUUCUUCAAAUUUGGAAAUUGGUGUUAUUUUCAAAUAGGUGUUGUUAGAGAAUGUUGAAAAUCACCUAAGGAGACCGUGUUUUAAAUUUGGGAUCAAUCAGAGGUAAUGUAAAUCACUUUUGGAUCAAAAUCCGAAAUUCACUAUUAUUGAGCCAACCUUAUUCUGAUAUAUGUUCUCCCCCUUAAUCUUAAUCAUUUACUCAUCGUCAACACAUAAACAUUUAAUUUAAAUAUUUUUUUUGUACUUAAGGAUUAUGUCUUGAAGUUUGAACUGGGUGAAUGAGAUGGCCACAUGCACUUGCGCUGGGAUUGAAUCUGCUAUGUUUUGGCUUUAGCUUUAACUUUUACUACUUGAAUUGAAAGUCGUGUGGGCUUCUUGAAAGUCAAUUUACAAGUUGAUGUUCACUUGAUCUCGACUUAACGUACAUAUCUAUCCAUUUUAUUAUAAUUAUAAAUAAUAUGAUGGGAAAUUGGAAGGAGGAAUCAGACAUUUGCCAAUGGAAUAUCCAUUUGAAGUUCGUCGAUCUGCUUCAAUAAGUUAUGCUAUUUGUUCACUUUUACUUAUCCACAAGGGACUUUGCAUUCCUCUUAUGAAAUUUAUAAAUAAUAUAAAUAAAGUAACUUUUUGUUUUACUAUAAUAACCAUAAUAAUAAGAGCAUUUUAAAAAGUCUUAGAAAAUGGGUAUUAAUGAUAAGGCUGAAAUAGGAAAAAAAUAAUUUUUUCUUAAUUUGCUAAAAUAGACAAGUAAAAUUAAAUAUAUACUUUUAGUAUAAUGGACAAGUAAAAAGUGAAUGAUGAGAGUAAUAAGCAAGGAUUGCCAUAUACUAUUUGAUAUGCCAAUAGUUCAAAGUUUCACUUCCUUGAACUGGCUAUUACCGCGCAACGUGCCCUUGCUUGGUGUAUUGUUAAUUAAUCAAUUUUAAAAAGAGGGAUGGGUUUCAACCUUUCUUUGAGUCGUCAGGAUAAUAAAGUGCUACUUCUAAAAUGAUCGUUAAGCUCAUUCACUCGAUUCCCUCGGUGGCUCUGCUAGCGAUGGAUCAAAAUAUGCGGCCUGCCUAUCAUGCCAAAGGCGCUGCUGAUGGAUAUUCCAAAGAUGUCCUGGCUCUGAACCGGGUACUUGAAAUGCUAAAGAUACUUCUUAUGGUCUUGCUUCAACCACCCUUCCUUCUCUACCUUUUUCUUCAAAAACUUAAGCUACUUAGACCGAUGGUGGCGAUCUCGAAAGGAGAUAUCUGGACCUAGAGCAACUCGUCUUGAUCUUUAUUAUAUUAGGAUGCGAGGAAAGGAAAAGAAGGUGAUAAGCAAGAAGAGUAAAGAAGAAUGUUAAAAAAGUCCCUAUAAGUACUUCACUUAGCCUUUCUAUAGUCUUUCUUCCCCUCUUCUCUCAAAGGACACUCUUUCAUCCAUGCCCAUGGUUCUUACUUUCAUUUCUCCCCUCCUCACAUAGGGGCAUAUCUUUUUUUCAAAGAUGAGUUGUAGAUGUGAUGUGAAAGUUUUUAAUAGGAUACGUAUUUAAGAAAGAAAAGAAUGUUUCCGAAACCUGCAGUUUAAAGCAAAUCAUAAAUAUUUAUGUGGUUAUAAAUUAUUUUAUUAAGGAUAAAAUAGAAACUUUAAAAUUAUAUUAAGUCUCAAUAUAAAUUGUCAUUCUCUUUUGAAUAAAUAAAAGGAAAGUGUGUAAGAUAGAAUUGAACUGAGAGAAUACUAGUUUACAUAUUGAUAAAUAUGUUAUCAGUGUAAAAUUCACAGAUAAAUGAGGCAUCCCAAAAUCUUGUCAAGCCUUUAAGUUGAACUAUGAGGAUCUCAUCACUAAGCAAAGCGAGGCGCUAAUUAAAAGACAUUUAUGCCCCAGAACCUUGUGAAAAUAGGGGAAAUAAGGGCAUAUGUGAUUUAUUUUGGUAACAGCGUAGACAUCUUUUUUUUUUUUUUUUUGGAACCCCAAGAAAAUUCGUAGCUGCUACAGCCUCUGUCCUCUCUGUGGUACAAAUCACACAGGGAUGUAAACCGCAUUAAGCAAGCCCCGUGCGACAGGCUCAGACCCAGAGAGACCCAGAGAGGUAUUGCGGUGGAUAGAACCCGCGUCUUCCGUGUGGAAGUCACCCGCCAAACCCAACUGGGCCGUCCCUUGGGGACUGCGGAGAUAUGUUUGAACCCAACUAUUAACAGAUGACAUAGUUAAUUAUUUUUACAAAAUUUAGAGGCAAAUUUGGACCUUUUCCGUUAAAAAAAAAGGUAACCUCGCACUGAAAUGAUUGGUUCCAUGUUGAGAUGGUGGGUGCACACUUCAUCCCAUGAUCCUUUUUUUUUUGUUUUUUCCAAAUUAUUUUCCUUUUGCAAAAGGAAGAACAAAAUUUUAGAGUUGUACGUUUGGCCGUUUUUCGAGUCCAGCCUUGAAACUUUUUACCUUCUUUUUAUAAAUACAAGUAUACAACCUCCUGCUUCGUAAGCAAAAGAUGGAAAUCCAUGAGCACCUCGUUCUUUCUCCAUCUCUUCUUCUACACAAAUUUAUCAGUUAUCACCGCAAUGAGCUACUUCUGGUUGGGAAACAAGUUAUUCCAGAAUUAAUAAUUAUAUCGGGUUUAGUUAUUUCGAGAUUAUUAUCCCAACCUCCGAUAGAGAUAAAAAAGCACUAUAAUCCUGUGAUAAUUAAUUCCUGAAUUAGUUAUACUGCGAUUUUAUCCCAAACAAACAUGGGAUAAAUUCAUUUUAAAUUUAAUCCCGUAAUAAAUUAUUCCUUAUCCCUAGUACCAAACCACCUUGACUUUGAUUAGUUUAAUUUGUGGCCUGAAGUAAUUAACUUGAAUGUUGAGAAGAAAUCUGUAUGUAUAUACAGCCACAUUUGAAGCAUUAAAUUCUUAACCAAAGUAAAAUGCAUUCACAUAUUGAGGUCCAAAACAUAAACAAUAGAAUCUAACACAACGUACAUCAAGGUGCAUUGAUAUUGAAGUUCAAAUCAUCAGUCAAGAACAAGACACCAAAGGACAAACACAAAAACAAAAUCAAGAAUAGUCUAAGACAAUUAAUCCAUAUAAAUGAAAUAAAACAGCGUCACACAACCAUAAUAUAAUGGUACAAUCAACUCAUAUUAGUCAUCAAAAGCAUGCAUCUAAUAGACAGCAACAACACAGAGCAGCCAAACAUCCUCCCAUGAGUCCCGCACCACCAGAUGAUUGUUGUUGUUGUUGUUGUUGAGGUGGCGCAUACUGAGGGGCAUACUGGGGCGGGUACCCCGGUCCCUGUGGAGGAUACCCUUGUGGAGGGUAGCCUUGUGGUGGAUAUCCUUGUGGUGGAGGGACACCAACAGGAGGUUGUUGAUUGUAGUAACUCAUCUUCUGAUGAAAAGUUGCUAGCUAGAGAGAGUUUUUGUGAAAGGAGAAUUAGUCUUUUCUUAGGCAGAAAGAUAAUGGGGUACAUUGAAGAGGUGUAUAUUUAUUCAUUUUAUAGAUUAAAGUCAAAGUGGUGACAACGAGGACUAGGCCACUUAUUUAAAGAAAACCCCUUAUUUUAUUUAUUUUUUUCGGUGACAUUUAUUUCUUUCUU
This 7359-nucleotide long non-coding RNA is filed under the name Nicotiana tabacum (common tobacco). RNAcentral's name for it is "long non-coding RNA (NTAB_LNC004561)". Lineage: Eukaryota; Viridiplantae; Streptophyta; Magnoliopsida; Solanales; Solanaceae. The record is from RNAcentral.